Molecule: ribosomal RNA, 114 nt
Filed under: Streptococcus pneumoniae
Lineage: Bacteria; Bacillati; Bacillota; Bacilli; Lactobacillales; Streptococcaceae
Source: RNAcentral
AGUGACGAUAGCCUAGGAGAUACACCUGUACCCAUGCCGAAUACAGAAGUUAAGCCCUAGAACGCCGGAAGUAGUUGGGGGUUGCCCCCUGUGAGAUAGGGAAGUCGCUUAGCU